ACGUAGGUGGCAAGCGUUGUCCGGAUUUAUUGGGUUUAAAGGGUGCGUAGGCGGUUUUGUAAGUCAGUGGUGAAAUAUAGCAGCUUAACUGUUAGGGUGCCAUUGAUACUGCAGAACUUGAGUACAGAUGAGGUAGGCGGAAUUGACGGUGUAGCGGUGAAAUGCUUAGAUAUCGUCAAGAACACCUAUAGCGAAGGCAGCUUACUAGGCUGUAACUGACGCUGAGGCACGAAAGUGUGGGGAUCAAACAGGAUUAGAUACCCUGGUAGUCCACACUGUAAACGUUGAUUACUCGCUGUGUGCGAUAUACAGUACGCGGCCAAGCGAAAGCGAUAAGUAAUCCACCUGGGGAGUACGCCGGCAACGGUG
RNAcentral lists this ribosomal RNA (369 nucleotides) under uncultured bacterium. Its description in RNAcentral is "bacterial SSU rRNA". It matches the Rfam family "Bacterial small subunit ribosomal RNA", at positions 525 to 896 of the family's 1533-position model. The record is from RNAcentral.